Non-coding RNA from Nelumbo nucifera (sacred lotus), 129 nucleotides. NCBI's taxonomy places the organism in Eukaryota, Viridiplantae, Streptophyta, Magnoliopsida, Proteales, Nelumbonaceae. The record is from Rfam.
UUGUUUGCGGAUGUAGCAUCAUCAAGAUUCACAAACUUAAUGGGCUUUGUGGAAUGGUGGUCCCUUCCCUUCCGUUCUCUCGAAAUGCUCUUGGUAUGGGAAUCUUGAUGAUGCUGCAUCGGCAAUAAA